Long non-coding RNA from Seriola aureovittata, 810 nucleotides. RefSeq lists it as uncharacterized. The record is from RefSeq and is a predicted model, not a curated record. Lineage: Eukaryota; Metazoa; Chordata; Actinopteri; Carangiformes; Carangidae. The transcript has 5 exons.
UGCUCUUUCAAACACCCACACUCAUACAUAUUCACUUCCUUUGCAUCGUGUCUGUCUGUUAACACUUUGGAUAAGAUGUAAGUGAAAUAGCUGCUCUUUUUUUUUAGCUCAUAUUUGUUUAUGCAUCACUAAACCCCGCACAGUUUUUGCAUGCGGAAUUAGUUAGAAGAGUUCCUGGUUGCAGUGCGCUCAUGGAUGUACGGACAGCUGUCACUGGAUUACUGUGAUACAGAAGAAAACUUAAAAACUUGAUGAUUCUCAAGCAAGUUCUGCAGUUAUAAGAUUCUUUUUUUUUUUUUUUCUACGUUGAUUCUUGAACAUUUUCAAGACUACACAUCAUAUAUAAAGAUCAUCUGAAAGUGUCCCCUGACUGUUCAACAGAACAGCUGUCAGUCUCACAAUGCGGGCGAGUAUCUACAGCUUCCUGUUAGCCCUGGUUCUGGGCUGUAAUGUCACUGCAGGAACAAUCCUUAAAGUAUCUGAGGAGAAACAGCAGGUCACUCUGUCUUGUCCUCGACCUGUGGAGGGUAGAGCGACGUGGAGCAGAGACAUUAAUGGAAGCAAAGUUGACUUAAUUACAGUUGCUGGUGAAAGGGACAUCAGACACAAUGACCCAGGCAAAAGAUACAAUUCAAUAGCAGAUAAAUUUAAGUCACUGAUCAUUCACAGAACUGUUGUCUCAGACUCUGGAACAUACUUCUGCAACAAUGAAUCAGCUGCAGAACUGACGGUGAUCCCAUCAGGAACAAUUACACGCAAUGCUACAGAGAGGACCAGCAUCACUCUGCAAUGUCCUCCUGGUGUUGGAGG